Molecule: ribosomal RNA, 432 nt
Filed under: uncultured bacterium
Lineage: Bacteria
Description: partial 16S ribosomal RNA
Rfam family: Bacterial small subunit ribosomal RNA
Source: RNAcentral
CCUACGGGUGGCAGCAGUGGGGAAUUUUGGACAAUGGGCGCAAGCCUGAUCCAGCCAUGCCGCGUGAGUGAAGAAGGCCUUCGGGUUGUAAAGCUCUUUCGGGGACAGUGCGGUACCAGCAGAAGAAGCACCGGCUAACUACGUGCCAGCAGCCGCGGUAAUACGUAGGGUGCAGGCGUUAAUCGGAAUUACUGGGCGUAAAGCGUGCGCAGGCGGUUUGCUAAGACAGGUGUGAAAUCCCCGGGCUUAACCUGGGAACUGCGCUUGUUACUGGCAGGCUUGAGUGUGGCAGAGGGGGGUGGAAUUCCAGGUGUAGCAGUGAAAUGCGUAGAUAUCUGGAGGAACACCGAUGGCGAAGGCAGCCCCCUGGGCUAAACUGACGCUCAUGCACGAAAGCGUGGGGAGCAAACAGGAUUAGAUACCCUUGUAGUC